Molecule: ribosomal RNA, 253 nt
Filed under: uncultured bacterium
Lineage: Bacteria
Description: partial 16S ribosomal RNA
Rfam family: Bacterial small subunit ribosomal RNA
Source: RNAcentral
UACGUAGGGGGCAAGCGUUGUCCGGAAUCAUUGGGCGUAAAGAGCGCGUAGGCGGUCCGAUAAGUCGGUUGUGAAAACUGGGGGCUCAACCCUCAGAGGCCGACCGAUACUGUCGGGCUAGAGUCCGGAAGAGGCGAGUGGAAUUCCUGGUGUAGCGGUGAAAUGCGCAGAUAUCGGGAGGAACACCAAUGGCGAAGGCAGCUCGCUGGGACGGUACUGACGCUGAGACGCGAAAGCCAGGGGAGCGAACGGG